GAUAGAGUUUGAUCCUGGCUCAGGACGAACGCUGGCGGCGUGCCUAACACAUGCAAGUCGAGCGAAGAACUUAUCAUGAAACCUUCGGGUUGACUGAUAAACUUCUUAGCGGCGGACGGGUGAGUAACACGUGGGCAACCUGCCCUGCAGUUGGGGAUAACUCCGGGAAACCGGGGCUAAUACCGAAUAAUCAGUUCCUUCGCAUGAAGGAACUCUGAAAGACGGCUAUGCUGUCACUGCAGGAUGGGCCCGCGGCGCAUUAGCUAGUUGGUGAGGUAAUGGCUUACCAAGGCGACGAUGCGUAGCCGACCUGAGAGGGUGAUCGGCCACACUGGGACUGAGACACGGCCCAGACUCCUACGGGAGGCAGCAGUAGGGAAUCUUCCACAAUGGACGAAAGUCUGAUGGAGCAACGCCGCGUGAGCGAAGAAGGUUUUCGGAUCGUAAAGCUCUGUUGUGAGGGAAGAACAAGUACAGGAGUAACUGCCUGUACCUUGACGGUACCUCAUUAGAAAGCCACGGCUAACUACGUGCCAGCAGCCGCGGUAAUACGUAGGUGGCAAGCGUUGUCCGGAAUUAUUGGGCGUAAAGCGCGCGCAGGCGGCCUUUUAAGUCUGAUGUGAAAGCCCACGGCUUAACCGUGGAAGGUCAUUGGAAACUGGAAGGCUUGAGUACAGAAGAGGAAAGCGGAAUUCCACGUGUAGCGGUGAAAUGCGUAGAGAUGUGGAGGAACACCAGUGGCGAAGGCGGCUUUCUGGUCUGUAACUGACGCUGAGGCGCGAAAGCAUGGGGAGCAAACAGGAUUAGAUACCCUGGUAGUCCAUGCCGUAAACGAUGAGUGCUAAGUGUUAGGGGGUUUCCGCCCCUUAGUGCUGGAGCAAACGCAUUAAGCACUCCGCCUGGGGAGUACGGCCGCAAGGCUGAAACUCAAAGGAAUUGACGGGGACCCGCACAAGCGGUGGAGCAUGUGGUUUAAUUCGAAGCUACGCGAAGAACCUUACCAGGUCUUGACAUCCCGCUGACCGGUAUAGAGAUAUACCUUUCCCUUCGGGGACAGCGGUGACAGGUGGUGCAUGGUUGUCGUCAGCUCGUGUCGUGAGAUGUUGGGUUAAGUCCCGUAACGAGCGCAACCCUUGACCUUAGUUGCCAGCAUUCAGUUGGGCACUCUAAGGUGACUGCCGGUGACAAACCGGAGGAAGGUGGGGAUGACGUCAAAUCAUCAUGCCCCUUAUGACCUGGGCUACACACGUGCUACAAUGGACGGUACAGAGGGUUGCCAACCCGCGAGGGGGAGCUAAUCCCAUAAAACCGUUCCCAGUUCGGAUUACAGGCUGCAACUCGCCUGCAUGAAGCAGGAAUCGCUAGUAAUCGUGGAUCAGCAUGCCACGGUGAAUACGUUCCCGGGUCUUGUACACACCGCCCGUCACACCACGAGAGUUUGUAACACCCGAAGUCGGUGGGGUAACCCUUUUGGGAGCCAGCCGCCGAAGGUGGGACAGAUGAUUGGGGUGAAGUCGUAACAAGGUAGCCGUAUCGGAAGGUGCGGUUGGAUCACCUCCUU
This 1561-nucleotide ribosomal RNA is filed under the name uncultured Sporosarcina sp. RNAcentral's name for it is "bacterial SSU rRNA". It matches the Rfam family "Bacterial small subunit ribosomal RNA". The record is from RNAcentral. Lineage: Bacteria; Bacillati; Bacillota; Bacilli; Caryophanales; Caryophanaceae.